Molecule: long non-coding RNA, 3461 nt
Organism: Brienomyrus brachyistius
Lineage: Eukaryota; Metazoa; Chordata; Actinopteri; Osteoglossiformes; Mormyridae
Exons: 5
Source: RefSeq, a predicted model, not a curated record
GAAGUCUCCCCCCUUAUUCUUGCCAGCAUCACACUGCUGUAAGAGUCGCCUGUCAUCUUAUUUUCCAGCUGUUUUGUGGAGGAUUUCUCAGAGAAACUUUGACUAGUAAUUGAUAACUCACUACAAAAUUGCCACGAACCCAGAGGUAUCAACAACAGUGUCCGGAGGAAAUUCAAGGGUCAAAGGCUGACGAUGCCAACUGUAACGACAGCAGACGAAUCACAUGCUGCCUUCAGGGUUCUGGAAGUUACCUGGUCCACAGCAUCAAGGAGCUGGAAGCUCUUAUGAUGAGCAACAGGUGGAAUGUUUAAACUUUGUAUCAGAAGAAGUAAGUUUCAAACCUCAGUGUGGGUUUUAAAUGCAUCAUUGCUUAAUACCAUUAUAAUGCUGACAGAUACAGGGUGAAUUGUACUUUAAGGUAAUAUCGUAGUGGUUUGUGACUGGAAUUGUCACACUUCGCCGGGAUCGCUGGGUGAGCGGGCGAUCGCUCCGGCAGGGCGAUCAGGAAAGGAGCAGGCAGACAGGCGGAGUAUGGGGUAAACGGGGAUUUAUUAAAUAAACAAGGACUAGGGAACAUCUGACAAAGACUAACGUCAAUGACGGACGAGGACCACAGGUAAGACUAGGACUUAAAACAGGACUAAUCAAAGUAAUCAGACACAGCAGGAGACGAUCAGGGAAGUACACGUGGGUAAGCCGGGGGCGUGGCACACACGAGGAGCGGACGAGCCGGGCAUGACAGGAAUGAAAUGAGAAGAUUUUUUUGUUUUAAUUGUAAAGCAACAUUUGAUGUUGCACAGAAAAGAAUAUCACAGUUUUUAGCUUAUCAGCUCUUGAUUUCACUUAACCUCAAUACUUCUUCUCUACUCCCACCAUUGUCACAUUUUUCUAGAACCUACUGUGCUGAAAUCACACACAAUGUACACUAUAUUUACAAAGGUAUUGGGACACCUACCUUUACAUACACAUGAACUUUAAUGACAUCCCAUCCUUAAUACAUAGGCUUAAAUAAUGGAGUUGGUCCACCCUUUGCAGCUAUAACAGCUUCAGCUCUUCAGGGAAGCCUGUCCACAAGGUUUAGGAGUGUGUUUAUGGGAAUUGUUGACCAUUCUUCCAGGAGAGCAUUUGUGAGGUCACAAAGUUGGGACCAUGAAAUUGUCCAAAAUGGCUUUGAAUGCUGCAGCAUUAAGAGUUCCUUUCAUUAGAACUAAGGGGCCAAGCCCAAUCCCUGAAAAACAACCGAACACCAUAAUCCCCCCUCCACCAAACUUCACACAUGACAAAAUGUAGGCAGGCAAGAACCUUUCACCUGGCAACCACCAAAGCCAAACUCGUCCAUCGGAUUGCCAGACAGAGAAGCAUGAUUUGUCACUCCAGGGAACACUUCUCCACUACUCUAGGGUUCAGUGGCAGUGUGCUUUCACCACUGCAUCUAACGCUUUGCAUUGCAGUUGGUGAUGUAAAGCUUGGAUGCAGCUGCUCGGCCAUGGAAACCCAUUCCAUGAAGUUCUCUACCAAUGUUCUUGAGCCAACAUGAGGACCACAUGAAGUUUGGAGCAUUGCAGUACUGGGAGGAUCAGUUCUAGCUGGUGUCCAUGGUCUCUGUGAUGCCAGAAGUCAAAUCAUCUUUCUGAAUGCUCUCAAAGAUGGAGGACAUCUCGGCGUUGGAGCGGAUUUGACUGGCGAAGUCUGCCAUGGCAGGGCUCUUCUCUAUGUCCCUGAUGGACAGGAGUGCUGCCACUGCUCGCAUCGCUGACCGUCGCAGCUCCUCCUGCUUCUCAAACUCCUGCUUCACCGAGCCAGCCUUCACCUGUGGUUAUGGAGCAUGUCGACAUUUUGAAACAAUACUGCCCUCUACUGGAAAUAAAGCACAAUGUCUUGCUUGAAAUCGCAUUAACAUUCAGCAGCUUCUAAUACAACCUUGAGUGUAGAACUGCUUUGAUCAUGCUGUGAUACGCAACCGUAUUUAUCCACAAACAUGGUUCAUAUAGUCCUAUAAGGACAUCCCCUGCACCGACGGCUGCAGGAGUAGUGCUAGGCAGUGUGUUACCUUGGUAGUGCAUGUGGCUCGAAGCGGCUCAACAAGUCGGUCAAGCCUUUGCAUGACAGCACUGGGACUCAGUGAGGAAAGUCUGGCCAGCAUGAUAAAGGUGAGCAUCUUAGAGAGAGAAGAGGUUUAGGUUAACAUGACUCAAUUUGAAGCACGCUUCCUGACUAGUACGAAAUUCUAGUCAUUUAGCUAUUUGAUACAUUUUAUUAUAACAACUUUAAGUUCAGAUUUAACUUGGGGAAUGUGUGAUAAUUUCCAGUCUGUAACAUUUGCAUGUAUCUUUCAUUUUACCCUGAUGUCAUAAUGAUCCUUUAGACCUUCCUCCACGUGAUUCAGGAACUCAAAGAUGUCCAGGCAAUCCAAGCAGCUAUCCAGCAAGGUAUACAUACACUCAAAUGCUGCCUUCCGGACAUCUAGUCCGUCGUCAACUGUGUGCUUGAAGGGGCCCAUCUCUACCUGCAUUAGAAGAUCCAUCAGCUAACAGGACGCCUGGCGCCACACCGGCCAGCUCGGUGAGAAGACUGAAACAGCCCUGCCUGGACUUGAUGCUCUUCUCCUUCAGCUGUCGGUGUAAAGCCUUCACGAUAGUGGGGACCUGCGAAACCAGAAACAACACUAAGAGAACAUUAUGGAUGUUUGACACUUCUGCCCUGGGGGGAAGCAAUAUUCAUGGGAAGGUACAGCAAUGUUUCCUGUCUACCUGUUUCUUUAGCAAGGUAAGUGCUGGGUCUUCCUUAUCUCCAGGCUGGGGAGGGACCUGCAGCGGUCGCGUCUGCCGGAGCAAGGAGAUGAAGGCCAGGAAGAUUUCGGUGCGGACGUUCUCCUCGCGCUCCUUGAAGCGGCCCACUAAGGCGGGGGCCACAGACCCAUACAGCUCCAACAACAGGUCUCUCCGUGUGCUGACCACAGCCUCCAAGCAUUUCACACUGGAACGCCGAACCUUCCAGCUCAUGUCGUCGUCGUCACUGUAUUCUUCAUCGGACCCUGAUGAAGCGACGGUUGGAUGGGCCAGGAAUCAGGUUGAGGGUAAAAAUAAGCAUUGCUGUCAUUAUUACUCAUGCAAAAUGGCAGACGAAUACAGACAUGAAACCACUAUCAACUCAUGUUUGCUCAACAACACUAUUUCAGAACAUGUGGAGGGUAAUAUGUGACACCUUGGUCGUCAUCUUCAAUGUCCAUGGACUCAUCUUCAUCUUCUUCAUCAGCAUCAUAGUUGUAGUUGGGGUCAUACAUAAUGUACUUCAAACAAAGUUUGAUGAUUGUGGAGAUAUGACAUGACAUUUCCUUGGGGCACCUUACAAGACAAUAAGAAUAACACAAAAAAGUGUUAUUGGUUAUGUAUCUAACAGAUAGUCAGGACACUGCUAUGCAUUGUCCGUGUUUGUCGCUGGAAUUAAAAAUCUUGUUCUGA